UCCCCUGUGGCUCAGUUGGUAGAGCAUGGUGUUUGCAACGCCAGGGUUGUGGGUUCGAUUCCCACGGGGGGAC
Molecule: transfer RNA, 73 nt
Filed under: Salmo salar (Atlantic salmon)
Lineage: Eukaryota; Metazoa; Chordata; Actinopteri; Salmoniformes; Salmonidae
Rfam family: tRNA
About the family: Transfer RNA (tRNA) molecules are approximately 80 nucleotides in length. Their secondary structure includes four short double-helical elements and three loops (D, anti-codon, and T loops).
Source: Rfam by way of RNAcentral